GACGAACGCUGGCGGCGUGCUUAACACAUGCAAGUCGAACGGAAAGGCCCUGCUUUUGUGGGGUGCUCGAGUGGCGAACGGGUGAGUAACACGUGAGUAACCUGCCCUUGACUUUGGGAUAACUUCAGGAAACUGGGGCUAAUACCGGAUAGGAGCUCCUGCUGCAUGGUGGGGGUUGGAAAGUUUCGGCGGUUGGAGAUGGACUCGCGGCUUAUCAGCUUGUUGGUGGGGUAGUGGCUUACCAAGGCUUUGACGGGUAGCCGGCCUGAGAGGGUGACCGGCCACAUUGGGACUGAGGUACGGCCCAGACUCCUACGGGAGACAGCAGUGGGGAAUAUUGCACAAUGGGCGGAAGCCUGAUGCAGCAACGCCGCGUGCGGGAUGACGGCCUUCGGGUUGUAAACCGCUUUCGCCUGUGACGAAGCGUGAGUGACGGUAACGGGUAAAGAAGCACCGGCUAACUACGUG
Molecule: ribosomal RNA, 468 nt
Filed under: uncultured bacterium
Lineage: Bacteria
Description: partial 16S ribosomal RNA
Rfam family: Bacterial small subunit ribosomal RNA
Source: RNAcentral